RNAcentral lists this unclassified non-coding RNA (238 nucleotides) under uncultured Agaricales. RNAcentral's name for it is "sequence contains ITS1". The record is from RNAcentral. Lineage: Eukaryota; Fungi; Basidiomycota; Agaricomycetes; Agaricales.
UCGAUUAAACUUGAUGGGUUGUUGCUGGUUCUUCUAGAGCAAGUGCACACCUGUCAUUUUUAUCUUUCCACCAUGUGAACUAUGCAUAGUUCUGAAUAUCCCUGGUCAAGUUAUACUUGAUUUCUGGAAAUUGCUGUUAUAGUGACAGCUUUUUCUGUAUUCAGAUUCUAUGAUCUUUUAUAUACACCAAUAUGUUUAUGAACGGUUUACAAGGCUUUAUAGCCUAUAUAAUUAUAUA